GAAAGAUGGCUUUGGCUAUCACUCUGGGAUGGACCUGCGGUGCAUUAGCUAGUUGGUAAGGUAACGGCUUACCAAGGCGAUGAUGCAUAGCCGAGUUGAGAGACUGAUCGGCCACAAUGGAACUGAGACACGGUCCAUACUCCUACGGGAGGCAGCAGUAGGGAAUCUUCCACAAUGGGCGCAAGCCUGAUGGAGCAACACCGCGUGAGUGAAGAAGGGUUUCGGCUCGUAAAGCUCUGUUGUUGGAGAAGAACGUGCGUGAGAGUAACUGUUCACGCAGUGACGGUAUCCAACCAGAAAGUCACGGCUAACUACGUGCCAGCAGCCGCGGUAAUACGUAGGUGGCAAGCGUUAUCCGGAUUUAUUGGGCGUAAAGCGAGCGCAGGCGGUUGCUUAGGUCUGAUGUGAAAGCCUUCGGCUUAACCGAAGAAGUGCAUCGGAAACCGGGCGACUUGAGUGCAGAAGAGGACAGUGGAACUCCAUGUGUAGCGGUGGAAUGCGUAGAUAUAUGGAAGAACAUCAGUGGCGAAGGCGGCUGUCUGGUCUGCAACUGACGCUGAGGCUCGAAAGCAUGGGUAGCGAACAGGAUUAGAUACCCUGGUAGUCCAUGCCGUAAACGAUGAGUGCUAGGUGUUGGAGGGUUUCCGCCCUUCA
This 654-nucleotide ribosomal RNA is filed under the name uncultured bacterium. RNAcentral's name for it is "bacterial SSU rRNA". It matches the Rfam family "Bacterial small subunit ribosomal RNA", at positions 202 to 842 of the family's 1533-position model. The record is from RNAcentral.